CUCUGGCUGGGCAUAGUGGCAUGCAGUUUAGCUUGUUUUACUAGGAAGAAAGUAUUCAAGGACUAACGGGGGUAAUGUCAAAAUUGUAUCAAUAAAAAAUUAAGAAGCCAAAAAAGGAAACAGAGUGCCUAAAUAAAUAGAGAGACACAUCAUGUUCAUGAAUUAGAAGACUCAAUAUUGUUGAGAAGUCAAUUCUCCUCAAAUUAUUUGUGGAUUCAAUGCAAUCCCAAUCAAAAUGCCCGCAGUCUUUUUUUGUAGAAGCU
Molecule: long non-coding RNA, 263 nt
Filed under: Homo sapiens (human)
Lineage: Eukaryota; Metazoa; Chordata; Mammalia; Primates; Hominidae
Description: non-protein coding lnc-ATG16L2-7:1
Source: RNAcentral